This 583-nucleotide ribosomal RNA is filed under the name Lichenodiplis lecanorae. Its description in RNAcentral is "SSU rRNA". It matches the Rfam family "Eukaryotic small subunit ribosomal RNA", at positions 123 to 711 of the family's 1831-position model. The record is from RNAcentral. Lineage: Eukaryota; Fungi; Ascomycota; Eurotiomycetes; Verrucariales; Verrucariaceae.
GAUAGUACCUUUACCUGGAUAACCGUGGUAAUUCUAGAGCUAAUACAUGCUAAAAACCUCGACUUCGGAAGGGGUGUAUUUAUUAGAUAAAAAACCAAUGCCCUCCGGGGCUCCCUGGUGAUUCAUAAUAACUCAACGAAUCGCAUGGCCUUGCGCCGGCGAUGGUUCAUUCAAAUUUCUGCCCUAUCAACUUUCGAUGGUAGGAUAGUGGCCUACCAUGGUCUUUACGGGUAUCGGGGAAUCAGGGUUCUAUUCCGGAGAGGGAGCCUGAGAAACGGCUACCACAUCCAAGGAAGGCAGCAGGCGCGCAAAUUACCCAAUCCCGACACGGGGAGGUAGUGACAAUAAAUACUGAUACAGGGGUCUUUUGGCUCGUGUAAUUGGAAUGAGUACAAUCUAAAUCCCUUAACGAGGAACAAUUGGAGGGCAAGUCUGGUGCCAGCAGCCGCGGUAAUUCCAGCUCCAAUAGCGUAUAUUAAAGUUGUUGCCGUUAAAAAGCUCGUAGUUGAACCUUGGGCCUGGCUGAUCUGUCCUCCUAAUCGAGCGCACGGAUUCGGUCGGGCCUUUCCUUCUGGGGAGCCCG